UACGUAGGGUCCAAGCGUUAUCCGGAAUCACUGGGCGUAAAGCGUUUGUAGGCGGAAAUUUAAGUGUGAUGCGAAAUCUUGUGGCUCAACCAUAUAGACGGUAUCUCAUACUGGGUGUCUAGAAGAUAGCAGAGGUAAGUGGAAUUAGUAGUGUAGCGGUAAAAUGCGUAGAUAUUACUAGGAACACCAAUGGCGAAGGCAGCUUACUGGGCUAUAUUUGACGCUGAGAAACGAAAGCGUGGGGAGCGAACAGG
RNAcentral lists this ribosomal RNA (254 nucleotides) under uncultured bacterium. RNAcentral's name for it is "partial 16S ribosomal RNA". It matches the Rfam family "Bacterial small subunit ribosomal RNA", at positions 524 to 776 of the family's 1533-position model. The record is from RNAcentral.